ACCCGCUGAACUUAAGCAUAUCAAUAAGCGGAGGAAAAGAAACCAACAGGGAUUGCCCUAGUAACGGCGAGUGAAGCGGCAACAGCUCAAAUUUGAAAUCUGGCCUCUUUUGGGGUCCGAGUUGUAAUUUGCAGAGGGCGCUUUGGCGUUGGCAGCGGUCCAAGUUCCUUGGAACAGGGCGUCACAGAGGGUGAGAAUCCCGUACGUGGUCGCUGGCCUUCGCCGUGUAAAGCCCCUUCGACGAGUCGAGUUGUUUGGGAAUGCAGCUCUAAAUGGGAGGUAAAUUUCUUCUAAAGCUAAAUACUGGCCAGAGACCGAUAGCGCACAAGUAGAGUGAUCGAAAGAUGAAAAGCACUUUGGAAAGAGAGUCAAACAGCACGUGAAAUUGUUGAAAGGGAAGCGCUUGCAGCCAGACUUGCCUGUAGUUGCUCAUCCGGGCUUUUGCCCGGUGCACUCUUCUAUAGGCAGGCCAGCAUCAGUUUGGGCGGUUAGAUAAAGGUCUCUGUCAUGUACCUCUCUUCGGGGAGAACUUAUAGGGGAGACGACAUGUAACCAGCCCAGAUUGAGGUCCGCGCAUUUGCUAGGAUGCUGGCGUAAUGGCUGU
This 604-nucleotide ribosomal RNA is filed under the name uncultured fungus. RNAcentral's name for it is "eukaryotic LSU rRNA". It matches the Rfam family "Eukaryotic large subunit ribosomal RNA", at positions 23 to 641 of the family's 3401-position model. Lineage: Eukaryota; Fungi. The record is from RNAcentral.